AACGAACGCUGGCGGCAUGCCUAACACAUGCAAGUCGAACGAGACCUUCGGGUCUAGUGGCGCACGGGUGCGUAACGCGUGGGAACCUGCCCUUAGGUUCGGAGUAACUCCCCGAAAGGGGUGCUAAUACCGGAUAAUGUCUUCGGACCAAAGAUUUAUCGCCUUUGGAUGGGCCCGCGUUGGAUUAGCUAGUUGGUAGGGUAAAGGCCUACCAAGGCGACGAUCCAUAGCUGGUCUGAGAGGAUGAUCAGCCACACUGGGACUGAGACACGGCCCAGACUCCUACGGGAGGCAGCAGUGGGGAAUAUUGGACAAUGGGCGAAAGCCUGAUCCAGCAAUGCCGCGUGAGUGAUGAAGGCCUUAGGGUUGUAAAGCUCUUUUACCCGGGAUGAUAAUGACAGUACCGGGAGAAUAAGCUCCGGCUAACUCCGUG
This 433-nucleotide ribosomal RNA is filed under the name uncultured bacterium. RNAcentral describes it as "partial 16S ribosomal RNA". It matches the Rfam family "Bacterial small subunit ribosomal RNA", at positions 29 to 507 of the family's 1533-position model. The record is from RNAcentral.